UCAAGUUCCCGCCUUGUACACCAGCUCCCAAGGGGGCUCCCGGCCCCGCCCGGUGCGAGGAGGCUCCCCAAGCCACCAGGUGGUGCUGCUGCUCCGCGAGUCUCCAGUCCAGCCCCGCCCCCGAGUCUGGCCACGCCCCCAGCUCUGUGAUCCAGCUCUGGCCCCGCCUUCACCACGCCCCUAGGCGCGGGAUCCCGCUGGUUGGCCGCUUGGGCCCGCAUAGAAACAGCCGUAGAUGUGGGUGAGUGCCCUGCGUGGCCCAGACCCGCGGCUGCCCGGGGCAGGGAGGGCCUGCCUCUGCGUCGCUCAACAUUCGGCCUCUGGACGACUUCCGACAGGGUGCCUGCGGUGCCCCUCUCAGUGAUCAGUCCCCGCGGUUUGGGACCGUCUGCACACACGAGUGUGGAUCCCGAACCUGCGUUGAGAACUAGUUGCGUUAUUAUGGCAACGGCUGGAUUAGAGAUCGAACAAACCACUUCCUCAUCCAGAACGUGGGCCCUCCUACCAACCACAGCGUGUAAGGUGCCUGGGGCGUUCAGCAGGCCACGGACUCUGUGCUCACGUCCCCCCCAUCCAGGGCUCUACCCCUGGGGGACCUGAGACAGCGUGCAAGCAGAGUUGGACACGGGGCCCAAUCCCAUGAUCCUGGGAUCAUGACCUGAGUUGGAAAACACAUUGGAUGCUAAAACGACCGAGCUGCCCUUAAGAUGAAAUUUGUGAAAGUUCAUCUUAGCCAGCAUUUUGGGAACUCAGUAGUGGGAGGUGCUUCAAAGCUGGUGGAAUCUGGGAGCCUCACAUGGGAGAGCAGCAGCCAAGGGCCUGGGGCUGAUCCCAGCACAUCUGCCCUCAGUGCUCACCAGAGGGCAGCGUGGAGUCGUGUGGAGCCCGGUCUCUGUUCCUGGCAAAGAUGAGGACCCCCUGAGCCCAGCCAUGAGCCGGCGCCCGACGCAGGAGCCCUCUGCACCCUGGCCAUGGAGCUGCUGACCCUGCCACCACCCCCCAGAGUGGAUGUAUCCGAGCCCCCCUGUCACGGAGAUGUGAACAUGGCUGCACACGCUCUUCCACUUGGUAGAGGUGAGCCUUCCCUCAGGGUGCCAGGACGGUGACCCGGUGGAUGCCAGCCAGGCCGCAGACUCAGAGCCUGGGAUUUGGGCCCAGCCUCCACUCCGGGGAUCAGAGGAGAAAGCGGGAGGGGCACAGGUCCUGGGGUGGACCCAGGUCCUCACUGUCAGCUUCUCGGGGAGGUGCCGGACCCUGUGGGGCCCAGAGGCAAAGCACACGGACCCCCUCAUCUCGGCCACUGCUUGGUUCAGGGCCGAAGCGGACCAGCCCACCCCCCUCAGAACCCCAAGCCUAUGUGCUCCCAGGGUGUCUCCCAAGCUGGCAGGGAGGGGCGGGCCCAGGGGACCCCAGUGCAGCACCCCCCAGCUACACACAGCGCCAGCCUCUCAGAAUACGAAAGAUAAUUUAUUGAAUCUAUAAUUUUCCAUUAAAAUCUUCAAACAUAAAAGCUCUGUAACAAACGUCA
Long non-coding RNA from Suricata suricatta (meerkat), 1528 nucleotides. RefSeq lists it as uncharacterized. The transcript is spliced from 5 exons. Lineage: Eukaryota; Metazoa; Chordata; Mammalia; Carnivora; Herpestidae. The record is from RefSeq and is a predicted model, not a curated record.